ACAAAAGCCAAGAUUUUGCCCAAAAUGCCCCCAG
RNAcentral lists this transfer RNA (34 nucleotides) under Galeorhinus galeus (tope shark). RNAcentral describes it as "partial tRNA-Pro". The record is from RNAcentral. Lineage: Eukaryota; Metazoa; Chordata; Chondrichthyes; Carcharhiniformes; Triakidae.